ACGAACGCUGGCGGCGUGCUUAACCCAUGCAAGUCGCACGGAAAGGCCCUGCUUUUGUGGGGUGCUCGAGUGGCGAACGGGUGAGUAACACGUGAGUAACCUGCCCUUGACUUUGGGAUAACUUCAGGAAACUGGGGCUAAUACCGGAUAGGAGCUCCUGCUGCAUGGUGGGGGUUGGAAAGUUUCGGCGGUUGGGGAUGGACUCGCGGCUUAUCAGCUUGUUGGUGGGGUAGUGGCUUACCAAGGCUUUGACGGGUAGCCGGCCUGAGAGGGUGACCGGCAAAAUUGGGAAUGAGUUCCGGCGCAGACGACUACGGGCGGGGGGAGGUGGGAAGUAUGAAGAAGGGGCGGAAGCCUGAUGCCGCCGCGCCGGGGGCGGGAUGGGGGCCUUCGGGUUGUAAACCGUUUUCGCCUGUGAAGAAGGUGGAGUGACGGUAAUGGGUAAAGGAGCACCGGCCAACUAAGU
This 466-nucleotide ribosomal RNA is filed under the name uncultured bacterium. RNAcentral's name for it is "partial 16S ribosomal RNA". It matches the Rfam family "Bacterial small subunit ribosomal RNA", at positions 29 to 506 of the family's 1533-position model. The record is from RNAcentral.